Molecule: long non-coding RNA, 2683 nt
Organism: Denticeps clupeoides (denticle herring)
Lineage: Eukaryota; Metazoa; Chordata; Actinopteri; Clupeiformes; Denticipitidae
Source: Ensembl
AUGGCCGACGCCCCACUCGAUUUGCUGCAACUCCCAGAAAGCCUCAGAGCAGAGAGGCUACGUGCGAACUCCUCCCCCCAUGACGUCUCUCCGAAGGCACAGGGUUCGGCGUCUCUCAAAGCCGCUGGUGGUAAGAAGGACCCUGACCACAAAGUGCGGGACGGCUACACUCACACCCCAGCCGGCCAAUCACAAGAGAGAAGGAAGCGGCCUCGGCCUCCCAACGCGGACGAAGGGCCCCCGGAAAUGCGGCGGCGGGUGGAGGAGUUCAGCGAGCGGGAGGAGAGCGCGUCGCUUUCCUCGGGGAGCGACAGCGAGGCCGAGGAGGAGGGGAAAGACAGCGAGUGGGAUAACGAGGGAGAGGUGAAGAGGGUGAAGCCCGAUGAAGGGCGGCUGCGCAAACACGUCGGGACAGGGGUCAACGCGGGCGAAAGGUCGGGCAAGAUCCACAAUGGACGCGCUGUGAUCCAGCAGCUGAAGAGGGCGGUGACCGCGCUGCCCCCCAGCAUCAAGACUGAGCAGGAGACCAACUCCUCCACAGCCGCCGGGGGGCGCUGGUCACAUUCACAGCCCCCCUUACACUCCGCAUCCAGCAGCCUCAAUGGCAGCAGCCCCCCCGCGUCCCUGGUGGACUCUGAAAGCCCAUCCAAGGCUCUGUACCCCCCCACUUCUCCGCCCACCCUGUCUCCACCCCUUAGGGUGGAGGAGCGAGGCUCCCUGGGUCCCCACGGUGGCCGGGCGCCGGACUUUGAACUGUUGCAGAGACUGGCAUCUGCCGGGGGGGCAGCUGGGCGUGUGCUUUUCCACCCGCUGGCCCUCGGCCCCCAGGGGCCGCAGAGCCUUUACGCCCCGAGCACGAUUCGCUACGCCCCGCCGGAGUUGCCCCCCAGCCACCCAGCCGCCGAGGGUCUCCGGGCGGACCACCCGGCCGCCAAACCUCCCGCAUCCUUCUUCCCGCACCUGCAGAGGAUCACCGCCCUGCCCCCGUUCAGCGGCUUCUCCGCCACGGAGCCCCACUUCUCAGCCGGACUCCCCUUCUGCAUGAAUGGGCUGAGAGGAGCGGCCGGACCGGAAGAGGACUGAGCAAGGUCGCCGUGGAGACAAACGGGAUGGAGAAACGGACAGCGGAUCGAGUCACAUUGUCUUCCCCCAAACAUCAGCAGCAGAACGUCACCCAAUGGCUGCGAGCAGCAGAGACCUGAACAGAAAAGCCAUAAUGUAACCCGAGAGAGCGUCAUAAACACAGCCCAUCUCAUCACGGCCACCGGAAUAUGCAAGCUGGUCAUCUGUCUCUGCAGAAAUCACAGCCAACUGGUCGUCCGUGGAAAAAAAGUGAAAUUAGGAAUAGCACAUCCCGCGACAGACACUGAACCAUUUUACUUCUGUCCACAAAAGUCCCAGAAGUAAAGUAUUGUGGGCUCUCCAGGACGUAGGUCAAACAGCAAAAGCACACAAACGACUGCUGGCUGAGAAUCGUCCAGCCAUAAUUCCAAAGUUGGCAGGAUCUGCUAAUAAUAAAUCAGUAAGGGUCCCCCAAUGUUCCCGAUUGGUUUGUCCACCCGAGGAGACGCUGACACCCCAAUGUCCCCCAUCGGUUAAUGGUUUGUUAUUAAUUUGGAUCUUUUUUUAACAACAGACCGCACCAGAGCACUUACAGUAUGUAUCUACACAAAGCACUUCCCGUUUCUUCCCGUUUCUUCCCGUUUCUUCCCGUUUCUUCCCUGUUUAAUGUAUAGAACCGCCGGGAAGCAUUGUGCAUCUGGUCAAUAAUGAUUAUUGUAAAAUUAAGUAAAUAAGAAACAAAACGCACUGCGGAAAGUGCACCAUCGCGUGGUCUGUGAAGUAGGGUUACUCUCUUAGAAAAGAAAGGAAGGAAAACCUAUGGUGAGACGUGGUCGGCUUUACGGCGUCUCUCUGAAACCAAGUGUGGAUGCGGGUCGGACGGCGGGCGGUGGCCCAAGGGAAUUCAUCUGGAUUUCCUCCUGCUUUCUGUUGCACUUGUGGGUAAAGAGCCGGCUUUUUAUACGAAAAAUAAAUGAAAACUGAAUUCGUGUGGGGCAUCCUGAGCAAAUAAUGCAGUAUUAUAAAGGACAGUUGCAAACCGUGUCAGUAUUUUGCCAGUAGGAUGGAGGUUUUGUGCAAACGACCACAUUUUAUUUUAUUUUAUUUUUUACUGAACUCAAAUAUGUAAAAGGUCUUUUUACGUGCGAUUGCAAGUGCAUUUAUGACUAUGCGAUGUGUGAGUGUGAGUGUGUGUGUGUAACCUUUGCCAUCACUGUGAUUCUAACCUUUUAUGUUUUACUUUGUGAAUAUACCAUCCAUUUAAAAGAGAAUUAAACACUGUAAAAUUAUUAUAAUGAAAACAAGAAUUACAACAAUAAAAAAAAAAAUAUUCCAGUAGAGCUGCUGCAGUUUGUCUUUGUUUAAUGAUUUUUACUUUGCUAAUUAGAGGAACACACAAGCACACUUUGCUGAAUUAUUCAUGAAGUGACCAACAGCAUCAUUAAAUAAAAACUGGCCUAUGGCAAUUUCCGGUGGAGUGAGUAAUAACUGCUUGUGUCAUUUUUCUACAGUCAAUCUCGAUUAACCUCACACUUGCUUUGUCAUGAUGUUUUGCUACGUCCACUCAAAAACACAUUUACAUUUAAAGGUAUAAAGCGUGUAGCGGUGGCAUUUAGGCGCG